UCCAAGUUUAAUAGAAAGAAGAGCCUCGCUACUGGGAAUAUAUACACAAUUCCUUCGCUCAGACGCAUUAUUUAUCAAGCUAAAAUGACAACAUGUCCCAUGCAAAUAUUUAAAAAAGGUAAACUUGCUAUAGUAAAACACAAGUCAUAAUGAUGAUCGCAACAAUACAGCAAUAAUAUGCCGUUUCUUUUCACAAAGUAUCGCAGCCUGACACUCUUGUCGUUCGAAAGCUUCCAUAUUGGUUUAGUCAGAAAGAUGUUCACUCCUCGACAGUCAACAGUCAAUGAAGUCACGCGCGGAAUUAGGCGCUCAAUACCCAUGAUGCUUUGCGGCCUGCUGUUCA
Non-coding RNA from Paramuricea clavata, 343 nucleotides. NCBI's taxonomy places the organism in Eukaryota, Metazoa, Cnidaria, Anthozoa, Malacalcyonacea, Plexauridae. The record is from the annotation of a GenBank genome assembly.